GGCGGUGGUGAAGAAGGACGAGACUGUGAGCUACUUGGGGCAGCAGACGAAUAAUAUUGGAAAUUUCUUGUUGGAGAAGAAGGACCAGACGACAAGCUAUUUUGGAGGGAAGACUGAGGUGGCCAAGCAGAAGGGGACAGAGACGGCUCAGACAGCCCGCGAUACUGCAGAGGCCGGCAAGAAGCAGACCGGCAGCUACCUUCAGCAAGCGGGAAACAUGGUGACGAGCGCUGCACAGGGA
Molecule: unclassified non-coding RNA, 241 nt
Filed under: Hevea brasiliensis (rubber tree)
Lineage: Eukaryota; Viridiplantae; Streptophyta; Magnoliopsida; Malpighiales; Euphorbiaceae
Source: RNAcentral